UUUCCUUCAGCCUAAUUUGCAGCCAUCUUAGCCAAGCCUUCAUAUUUCUUCCCUUUUCAACCCGGUCCCUCAUUUUCCACCUGGAGAAGUCUCUUCUCAAUCGCCUAGGCAACGGAGACAAGAGCUAGGACGCUGUCGCACGGGCCUAGCUUCUGUCAGAGAAGUGGAAGAGCUUUCUUGUAUGCCUUAUUACCAACCACAGAACCUAGAAGAGUAGAAGGGAAAUUUCUCCUCCCCUGCAGUAUUGUUGGGCCUGUUGACCUCACUGUCACAACCUCAUCGAGUAUGACAUUCAAAAGAGCGAAGCCCCCUGGUACAUAGUUGUAUAUUCUUCGUUGUGGGUCCUUUUGUUGUGUCAUGUGGGACGCCGCCUCAGCGUGGUUCGACGAGCAGUGCCAUGUCCGUGCCCAGGAUUCGAACCAACGAAACACUGGGCCGCCUGCAGUGGAGCGCGCAAACUCAACCAUUUGGCCAUGGGGCCAACCCCGGUGCCAGUGUACCAGAAGCACAAGAAAGAUGAUCAGAGAAUUAAGAAAAAGAAGAAAAUACCGAAUGAGAUUAAGAAGGAAAAUUUGGGACAAAAACCUGGAGGUGUCCUUCACACCAACACCCCCCUCAUCCAAUGUAUCACAAUGGACUAUAUAUCUAUUUAACCCCAAAAGGUGUCUUGAACUGAUCGAUUUUCGCCCACGCCUUCACCGCCUUCUUGCUUUAGUCUAAUCCGUCAUCAUCUCUCCAUGUAUAUCUGGAAGAACUUCCUAAUUGUUCUCCCUCCUUUUACUUUUAUCCCCCUGCAAUCCAUUCCGCACACCAGUAAUUGCAGUGAUUUAUUUAAAAUGCUAAUAGGAUCAUGUAGUUUCCUUACUUAUCAUCUUUCAAGGGCUCCUUACUGCACUUAGGAUAAAAUAUAGACCCAUAACCUUGCCUUUGGGGCUCUGCAGAUUGCUGCCCCUGCCUCUACCGCCAGCCUCAUCUUGCACCAUCUCUUGUUCCUCACAGCCAGCAGGCACUA
This 1012-nucleotide long non-coding RNA is filed under the name Equus caballus (horse). RNAcentral describes it as "lncRNA (ENSECAG00000037735.3)". The record is from RNAcentral. Lineage: Eukaryota; Metazoa; Chordata; Mammalia; Perissodactyla; Equidae.